This is a long non-coding RNA of Lynx canadensis (Canada lynx), 1824 nucleotides long. RefSeq lists it as uncharacterized. Lineage: Eukaryota; Metazoa; Chordata; Mammalia; Carnivora; Felidae. The record is from RefSeq and is a predicted model, not a curated record. The transcript is spliced from 3 exons.
CAAACUCAUGAUCUGUGAGAUCUGAGCCAAGAUCGGGUCGGAGGCUUAACCAACUGCACCACCCAGGCUCUCCUGUCUCAGAAGACUCUUGAGAGGAAGGUGUUUGUAUAUGUUACAGGAGUGAGUGCUUUGCGGCCUGGCCUCAGUGUGAGAAGAGCUGUGCUUUCGUAUGACAGUCCACUGUCUGGGCUCUCCCCUCACUGGCUGUGUUACUGGGCAAAUCACUUUCUUUGUGCCUCAUUUUCCUCUCAUAAACGGGGAUAACAGUGGUAACGCUCAUAAAGUUUGUGAAUUAAAUGAGUUAAUACAUUGAAAAGGCUUAGAAAAGUUCCUGGUGUAAAAGUCUAGUAGUUACUGGGAAGAAAAAUAGUUUGGCGGAUGCAGAGCUCUCCACUCUGCAUCUGACUAGCACAGUGCCCUUUAUUCCAGAAUCUUCCACAUGGCUACAUGGCUACUUUAUAAAACUUGAAAUUACAACAAGGUCUGAGUAUAAGAGGGAAUGAAUUGAAGACCGCAGUUUCUUCACCUCUCCUAGGUGAAGGGGAACAGAACAUGCCACCCCAAAAUAUGCCACUUUGGCAUGUAGAUUAUUUUGACCUGAAGGCAAUCAAGUCCCAGCAGACUCCAGAAAAAACGUUUACUUCUCCCUUAAUUGCCUAAAAGAAUUUCCAUGGGAGCCUGGCCCAGAAAGAGAGCUAUUACCAGAGACAAUUCUUUUUUUUUUUUUUUUUUUUUAAAUCUGAAAGACUUGCCCGCAUGGCAGGGCCAACAUCUGCUUAGCAAACAUUUGCUCUUUUCAUCUUCCUGCAGAUUGCCCUCCUCCCCUUUGAAGCCCCAGCCCUGUCCUUUUCCUUAGCUGAGGACGGCACUAUUAGACCAGCCAAGGAACUACCCCGACAGUUUGGCGACCUGCAAGGGACCUUCACAGGCCAGACACCGCUUGCUCCAAGCCUGCUGCAGCUGACCGAGCUCGGGGCCUCUGACAAGAGCCAACGGAAGAGCCACGCAAGCAAGCUAAAGCUGGACAACUUGAUAUAAACUUCAAAGAAGUCACCACAACAUGUCAUAUAAGGACAGUCUUCAUGCCUGUAUCUGUGUGGCCCCUCAGAAAGACCACCAGAGACAUUAAAACUGCCAACCAGAAAAAUCUAUCAGGUUGCCGUUACCUGGUCUUACUGCAUCUGAAGAGGUUUCCAAACAGAUUAUCUAGAAAUCUUCUCAACUGGCUGCCCUCAGAACUCAGAAAUCGGGAGUAUAAUCUUCUCCAAUCAUUAACCAUUGUUUUCCUUUUGUUUCCAUAGAAAUGCCUCUUAUUAAAUAUCUGAUUGCUUGCACAAUAGGCCUAAUUUUGAGAGCCCACCUGCAUUUCUGUCUUAAAAUAAGACACAACCGUUUAACUGAACUGGCCUAUUCUUGGGCCUAAGAGACUGGUUCAGUGAGAUGGGGCAACCUACCAAUUCAACUUAUGGAUUGUGAAGCUUCUUGGGAAAGUUUCACAGAUGGGACCGAACGGGAACAGAACGUGCCACCCAAAAUGUGCCACUUUGGCAUGUAGAUUAUUUUGACCUGAAGGCAAUCAAGUCCCAGCGUAUACAUAUAUAUACGCUGUAUACAUAAUAAUAUAUAUCUCCUGAAAGACUUACCUACAUGGCAGGGCCAACACCUGCCUAGGAAACAUCUACUCUUCUCAUGGUCCUGAAAAUUGCCCUCCUCCCCUUCGAUGUCCCAGCCCUAUCCCUUUCCCUAGCUCAGGGUGGCAUGUAAGCCUCAAUUGCUUGACUGACAUUGGGUCUUGUUUAAAAGAAAAAAAAAAUUUAAUGUUUA